Bos taurus (domestic cattle) is the source of this 370-nucleotide long non-coding RNA. Lineage: Eukaryota; Metazoa; Chordata; Mammalia; Artiodactyla; Bovidae. The record is from Ensembl.
ACCAGAUGGUGAGCUUGUUCUAAGGAGAAUAUUAUGUUCUUGUCAUUGACUUCAUUAUAAUAAUGAUACCUGAGACCUUCCCCAGGGUUCUGAGUGGCAGGUGCCUGGAAGCCCUGCCUCUCUCUCUCUCUCUUGGAAGCGGAAGUGUGCCGGCCUUGGAUCCUUCAGGAGAACCAGCGAUACAAGGGAAGAAAUGGAUUUCCACAGGUGGGACAGGGGAGGAUAGAGCACUCCAAGCAGAAGAAAUGUCAUGUGAAAAGGCCCUGAAACUUGGAAGAGAGGGAUAGAAAAAGCCUGUGAUCAAGGGCCCAGAAGGACAUCUUUGCAACUCUUACCAUGAGGUGGAGGAGCAAAAGAAAUGACCUGAUAU